Molecule: ribosomal RNA, 431 nt
Filed under: Rhacophorus vampyrus (vampire flying frog)
Lineage: Eukaryota; Metazoa; Chordata; Amphibia; Anura; Rhacophoridae
Description: partial 16S ribosomal RNA
Rfam family: Bacterial large subunit ribosomal RNA
Source: RNAcentral
UCUUUAAUUGGGGACUUGUAUCAACGGCAUCACGAGGGUUGCACUGUCUCCUCCCCCCAAUCGGUGAAACUGAUCUCCCCGUGAAGAAGCGGGGAUACCCCUAUAAGACGAGAAGACCCCAUGGAGCUUUAAAUUUUGCUGCAGCUCUGCCAUGUAGUUCCAGAGUCCGCGGAGCAUGCACGUCAAUUUUCGGUUGGGGUGACCGCGGAGUAAAAUCUAACCUCCGCGACGGAAAGAACUAAAUCUUUAUCUAAGAGCCACUACUCUAAGAAUUAGCACACUAACGUACAAUGACCCGAUAACAGAUCAACGAACCAAGUUACCCUGGGGAUAACAGCGCAAUCUACUUCGAGAGCCCAUAUCGACAAGUAGGUUUACGACCUCGAUGUUGGAUCAGGGCAUCCCAGUGGUGCAGCCGCUACUAAAGGUUC